UACGUAGGGGGCAAGCGUUGUCCGGAAUUAUUGGGCGUAAAGAGCGCGUAGGCGGUCCGAUAAGUCGGCUGUGAAAGUCAGGGGCUCAACCCUUGAAAGCCGGCCGAUACUGUCGGACUAGAGUCCGGAAGAGGCAAGUGGAAUUCCCGGUGUAGCGGUGAAAUGCGCAGAUAUUGGGAGGAACACCAGCGGCGAAGGCGGCACUCUGGGCUGGUACUGACGCUGAGGAGCGAAAGCGUGGGUAGCGAACAGG
Molecule: ribosomal RNA, 253 nt
Filed under: uncultured bacterium
Lineage: Bacteria
Description: partial 16S ribosomal RNA
Rfam family: Bacterial small subunit ribosomal RNA
Source: RNAcentral